UACGUAGGGUCCAAGCGUUAUCCGGAAUCACUGGGCGUAAAGCGUGCGUAGGUGGAUGUUUAAGUGUGAUGUUAAAUCGUGUGGCUCAACCAUAUCGAUGUGUCGCAUACUGGGCAUCUAGAGGACAGCAGAGGCAAGUGGAAUUACGAGUGUAGCGGUAAAAUGCGUAGAUAUUCGUAGGAACACCAAUGGCGAAGGCAGCUUGCUGGGCUACUCCUGACACUGAGACACGAAAGCGUGGGUAGCAAACAGG
This 253-nucleotide ribosomal RNA is filed under the name uncultured bacterium. RNAcentral describes it as "partial 16S ribosomal RNA". It matches the Rfam family "Bacterial small subunit ribosomal RNA", at positions 524 to 776 of the family's 1533-position model. The record is from RNAcentral.